This 253-nucleotide ribosomal RNA is filed under the name uncultured bacterium. RNAcentral describes it as "partial 16S ribosomal RNA". It matches the Rfam family "Bacterial small subunit ribosomal RNA", at positions 524 to 776 of the family's 1533-position model. The record is from RNAcentral.
GACGAAGGAUCCAAGCGUUAUCCGGAUUCAUUGGGUUUAAAGGGUGCGUAGGCGGCCCGGUAAGUCAGUGGUGAAAUCUCCUUGCUUAACAAGGAAACUGCCAUUGAUACUGCUGGGCUUGGGUACAGAUGCUGUGGGCGGAAUAUGACAUGUAGUGGUGAAAUACAUAGAGAUGUCAUAGAACACCGAUUGCGAAGGCAGCUCACAAAACUGUAACUGACGCUGAGGCACGAAAGUGCGGGGAUCAAACAGG